This 923-nucleotide long non-coding RNA is filed under the name Monodelphis domestica (gray short-tailed opossum). RNAcentral's name for it is "lncRNA (ENSMODG00000040796.1)". The record is from RNAcentral. Lineage: Eukaryota; Metazoa; Chordata; Mammalia; Didelphimorphia; Didelphidae.
UGGCAUGCACAGCUAAGUGAUGAAAUGCGUUGAACACUGGACCUGGAGACAGUAAGACCUGGAUUCAAAUCAAGUCUUCAACAGUUUUGAUCUGGAUUUAGUCACAGCAUCCUACAAGUAGACAAUACCCAAAGAAAAUGUGUUAACUGAUUAUUGAUAUAUUACACACUGAUAUUUCUCCACUAAAACCCCAUGCUGGUGACUCAUGAUCUGGAGGUGAUAAUGGAUUCUUGGAACAAAAGAGAGUCAUUUCUUAUAAGAAAGAAUUUUAAAAGAGAAAGGAAGAAAGAAAGAAAGAAAGAAAGAAAGAAAGAAAGAAAGAAAGAAAGAAAGAAAGAAAGAAAGAAAGAAAGAAUAAAAAGGAAGAAAGAAAGAAAGAAAGAAAGAAAGAAAGAAAGAAAGAAAGAAAGAAAGAAAGAAAGAAAGAAAGAAAGAAAGAAAGAAAGAAAGAAAGAAAGAAAGAAAGAAAGAAAGAAAGAAAGAAAGAAAGAAAGAAAGACAGAAAGACAGAAAGAACGGAAGAAAGAAAGGAAGAAAGGAAGCCAGGAAGGAAGGAAGGAAGGAAGAAAGGAAGAAAGGCCAGAAAGCCAGGAAGACAGGCAGGAAGAAAGGAAGGAAGCAAGCAAGGAAGGAAGAAAGGAAGGAAGAAAGGAAGGCAACGAAGCAAGCAAGGAAGCAAGCAAGACAGGAAGAAAGGAAGGAAGAAAGAAAGAAAGAAAGAAAGAAAGAAAGAAAGAAGAAGGAAAACAUAGGAGGGAAGGAGGAAGUGAGAAAGGGAGGGAAGGAGAAAGGGAGAGAGGGAGGGGAGGAGGAAGGAAGGAAGGAAGGAAGGAAGGAAGGAAGGAAGGAAGGAAGGAAGGAGGGAAAAAGGUUUAGUUAGGCAAAUUUGUUCAUAAUAUCAAUAAAACGUGUCAUUAUGUGCA